GCAACUUGUGGGAUCUCAGCGAAUGCAAGCAGAAAGCCAGAGAAUCUCUCCGAGAGUAUGCUCGACGCUUCUCCAAGCAAUGCACGGAGCUCCCGCACAUCCCCGACCAUGAUGUCAUCCUAGCAUUUGUGUCAGGCACCACCUGCAAAGGAUUUGGUAUAGGAGUUAGGACGCAAUCGCUCGCAGACCGUUGACGAGCUGAUGGAUGUAGUUUCCAAUUAUGCGGAAUUUAUGAUCCUACCAAGUAAUAUUUAUUAGGAGGAAUCUCAAUAUGAUAAAGGCUAAGAGAUUUUAUGCUAACACUUAACCAGUUUUACAAAGCUUUGUUGUCUAUUUGAGCUCCACAAAAUUCAAGGAUCUAAGAAGACUAGCCGGCGGAGGACAUAGUAUUCGCUGUCAGGGUGCUGCCGACAUUCAAAUACACCUCCGCCACCUGCUAGCUACAUCAGAAGAAAUUACGUCAAAAUCCAGCUUGGGGAAGAGCACCCCCAUUUAUCAAGCUAAGUGUUUCUACUCGCGUUUAUACUUUGCUCAAAUAAUAAAAAGAUGCAUAAUCAUAAAAACCCAAAUAAAAAUUUUGUGCUUAUAUAUAUCUUUGCUUGCUAAAUAAAUAAAUAAAUAAAGUGUCUAGUCCAAACUAAACUUAAAUGAUAAAAUCUUACAUGGAUAUGAUAAAUAGUUGCUCUGCCAUAUACCUAGUUUUUAAGUUUGAGCUCUCUCUCAAGUUUAGGCAUAACUGUUAUAAUUUAAACCUGCUCUAAACCUGAACUUGUGGGAAGAGUACUUGAUCUGAAGUCUAAGUUGUUAACGGAUAUGAUAUGGGAAGGUUGAGCUGCUGUUUAUCUAUUCCUAGAGAUGCUAGAAUUCCGGAGAAUUUUAUCUUUGAAAAUCUUUAAAAAUAACACAUGAUGAGUUCCUGUAUGAUGAGAGUUUAAAUUUCUACCACAGCCAUAUAUACAUGCUUGCUAGACUUUGAGCCACACAUUUACUUUUUACUGCUUAUGAGCAUUGAGUGUGGUCAAGCUGUGUAGACCCUUAGGAGCUUGUCAUGUGGUUAAAAUCAAGAUUCACUUGGACGUUCACUCACACAUGCUACUUCUACUCCGGAAGUAUGCAUCCACAUACAUCCACUCACUUCCAUAUCCAGAGCCACCCAAAAGUAUUCUACUCCUAAUCCGAGAGAGAAUAGCCAAAAACAUUUCUAUUUUUCCCUAUGAAAUAAAUGCUCGAGUUAUCUUGGUUACUACCACUUGCUAUAUUAUUUCAGGAGAUUAGUGCUUUAAAAAAAGAAGAAGAAAAAAAAGAGAGAAAGAAUACGAGGAAAUAAAAAGGGGCAAGUGCCCGGAACCUCGAAGAAAAGAAAAAGUGAGACGAGAGGUAAAAAUGGACAAGUGUCCGACAGUAGAAUUAGGGGUACAAGAUACCACCUGAGGAAAGAAAAAGAAAAUAUAGAGCAUCUCAUUCUCCUCAAAAAGCUUCAAAGUGCAAGAAAGGUAUGUAUCCCCUUAAAAGAGCAAAAGUAGAAUUAGAUUUUCACCAUUGUUAUCACCAUACACCAUUCACUCGCCACACAUGCACAUCUUGAUUUGACUUAUUGACUUGUUCUUCUGGAUCCAUGGUUUGACUAUGCAAUAAAUGUCUUAUAAGUAUGUAUUAUCUGUCUCCCACCUAUGAGCUCCAGAUAUCAAAACCUUAUUAGAGUAGGGUGAGAGAGAAGGCAAUAUCACUAUGCCUCAUACCAAAAACAUCACAUACUUUGAGAGAAGGCAUAUACCAUUACUGCCUUGGAAAGGAUCUAGAAAUACCACAAAAGAGAGAUUUGAGAGAAUCAUAUAAGGAAUAUCUGAGUUUUAUUUGAAAAUCUGCAAAAACUCUAGAGCUAUAGCUGAUCAAGAACAAGAGACAUGGCACUUGACUAGAUUGUUCCAUCUUUUAACUGCUCAAGACACAAGUGACGGUUGCAAGCCCCAUGGUGAAAGGUAAAAUGAGUAAGUUUUAAGUCUUAACAGUUUACUCUAACUCAGAGAUGAGAUCUUGCUUGAACGCAUGCGUACUUUUAAGGCAUGAAACCACUACAGAAACUUUUGAGUCUAUCCUUGCUCAGGGACGAGCAAGAGGUAAGCUUGGAGGAGUUUGUUGACGGUCCUUAAGUACCAAAUAUAAUCGUCAAAUAAAUAAAGAAAAGGAUCCAAAUGCAACCAACGCCCAGACUUAGGGUUUUAUCUGAAAGAAUUCCACGAGUUUUGGUGUUUGUCUAUUUCUGUAGGGGGUUAUCAGGAAAUAUGGAGGAAAGGCCCACACGUAGGGUUUACGUAGAGAUAUUAACGUGCUGUGCAAUUUUCUAUCGUCUAGAAGAGUCCAGAAGCCACGGGAACGAACGGGAGGCCGAAUGGGCCAAGGGGCAGGGCGCCCGCCCUCCCCCCUUGGGCGCCCGCCCUGGUACAAGAACCAAUCACAGAAUGGAUAUCACCAUUACAAAGAUCUCGUCGAGCUGAUCGAAAUGCAUAUAUUAUUUGCUAUAUUUGGAGUACGGAAUCAAGAGAUAUUAAUAAAAGAAAGAACUCUACAUAAAGGAGCUGCGGGAUUAAUUGGGCUCAAAUCAGAUUUUGGUCCAUUAAGGCCUAUGUGCAUUUUAAUGAUAUAUGGUGGAAAGUUUAGUACCACAUCGCCCGCUGAACCAAAAAGGCACAAAAAGAGGAGGCUAUAUAAGCAAGGCCUCUGGCCCUUGGGGGAGAACACAUCAUUAUAGAGUUGAGAGGUGCCAUUGAAGGAUAACCUUUCCUCUAUAUAGAAUUAGGGCUUAGCAUCCAAUGUGAGAUUAGAAUUAGUUCUUCUAAGUACUUCUAGAUUGAGAGAGAUAGAGUGGAGGUGUAGAUCGGAGGAAGCCCGGCCUGUCGGUGUCUACUCCGAGGUUGUACCUACGGGAUCAAGUCUCCUAACCUGAGGCUUUCUCCUAGGAUUCUUCAGUAUUUCGACUUCUAAAUUCUAGUAAGUUUUCUUUGUUUUAUUGUUCUUUGGUUUAUGAGUUUACUUUAAUCUCUUCCAAUUGAGUUUAGAGUAAUCAUUGCUAGCUUAAACGUUGUGUUUGGACUAGGGUACUCAUAGAUAUCCCCUGUCUAGCCGGACCGUGGUAGUAGCAAGGAACGUGACAUUUCCGAGUUACCUUUGUAGCCCACAUCCCGUUAGAAGGAUCGAUAGGGUUUAUAGGUGCGGGUCAAAAAUCCUUUGUGGUGUCUAGAUUCCGUGAGCCUCCCCAAUAGAAGAGUAGAUCAUCCUUACCAAGGUUAGAACGAGAGUGCGGUUGUAGUCUUCUCUAUACAUCGCUCACAUCGAAUCACAUUGUUUGUAGCCUAAAGGGUAGUAGCAAUAAAUUUGGUUAGUCAGAUGCACGCUUUCUCCCAGUGGUAAAAAUAUAAAUACGAUACUCUGGAUAACCUCCCGGGUGAAAUGCUCACCGAUAUCUGUGCGCUUGCGGAUCAUUUCCUGAUGGCGUUACCUAAUAUCAACACUCCACGCCAAACAAAUCUAUGACUGGGCCGACCUGGUCAGGGUAUUCAAGGGAAAUUUCAAAGGAACCUACGUCCGCCCUGGCAACUUGUGGGAUCUCAGCGAAUGCAAGCAGAAAGCCAGAGAAUCUCUCCGAGAGUAUGCUCGACGCUUCUCCAAGCAAUGCACGGAGCUCCCGCACAUCCCCGACCAUGAUGUCAUCCUAGCAUUUGUGUCAGGCACCACCUGCAAAGGAUUUGGUAUAGGAGUUAGGACGCAAUCGCUCGCAGACCGUUGACGAGCUGAUGGAUGUAGUUUCCAAGUAUGCGGAAUUUCUGAUCCUACCAAGUAAUAUUUAUUAGGAGGAAUCUCAAUAUGAUAAAGGCUAAGAGAUUUUAUGCUAACACUUAACCAGUUUUACAAAGCUUUGUUGUCUAUUUAAGCUCCACAGAAUUCAAGGAUCAAAGAAGACUAGCCGGCGGAGGACAUAGUAAUCGCUGUCAGGGUGCUGCCGACAUUCAAAUACACCUCCGCCACCUGCUAGCUACAUCAGAAGAAAUUACGUCAAAAUCCAGCUUGGGGAAGAGCACCCCCAUUUAUCAAGCUAAGUGUUUCUACUCGCGUUUAUACUUUACUCAAAUAAUAAAAAGAUGCAUAAUCAUAAAAACCCAAAUAAAAAUUUUGUGCUUAUAUAUAUCUUUGCUUGCUAAAUAAAUAAAUAAAUAAAGUGUCUAGUCCAAAGUGAACUUAAAUGAUAAACUCUUACAUGGAUAUGAUAAAUAGUUGCUCUGCCAUAUACCUAGUUUUCAAGUUUGAGCUCUCUCUCAAGUUUAGGCAUAACUGUUAUAAUUUAAACCUGCUCUAAACCUGAACUUGUGGGAGGAGUACUUGAUCUGAAGUCUAAGUUGUUAACGGAUAUGAUAUGGGAAGGUUGAGCUGCUGUUUAUCUGUUCCUAGAGAUGCUAGAAUUCUGGAGAAUUUUAUCUUUGAAAAUCUUUAAAAAUAACACAUGAUGAGUUCCUGUAUGAUGAGAGUUUAAAUUCCUACCACAGCCAUAUAUACAUUCUUGCUAGACUUUGAGCCACACAUUUACUUUUUACUGCUUAUGAGCAUUGAGUGUGGUCAAGCUGUGUAGACCCUUAGGAGCUUGUCAUGUGGUUAAAAUCAAGAUUCACUUGCACGUUCACUCACACAUGCUACUUCUACUCCGGAAGUACGCAUCCACAUACAUCCACUCACUUCCAUCUCCAGAGCCACCCAAAAGUAUUCUACUCCUAAUCCGGGAGAGAAUAGCCAAAAACAUUUCUAAUUUUCUCUGUGAAAUAAAUGCUCAAGUUAUCUUGGUAACUACCACUUGCUAUAUUAUUUUAGGAGAUGAGUGCUUUAAAAAAAGAAGAAGAAAAAAAUAGAGAAAGAAUACGAGGAAAUAAAAAGGGGCAAGUGCCCAAAACCUCGAAGAAAAGAAAAAGUGAGACGAGAGGUAAAAAUGGACAAGUGUCCGACAGUAGAAUUAGGGGUACAAGAUACCAUCUGAGGAAAGAAAAAGAAAAAAUAGAGCAUCUCAUUCUCCUCAAAAAGCUUUAAAGUGCAAAAAAGGUAUGUAUCCCCUUAAAAGAGCAAAAGUAGAAUUAGAUUUUCACCAUUGUUAUCACCAUACACCAUUCACUCGCCACACAUGCACAUCUUGAUUUGACUUAUUGACUUGUUCUUAUGGAUCCAUGGUUUGACUAUGCAAUAAAUGUCUUAUAAGUAUGUAUUAUCUGUCUCCCACCUAUGAGCUCCAGAUAUCAAAACCUUAUUAGAGUAGGGUGAGAAGAGAAGGCAAUAUCACUAUGCCUCAUACCAAAAACAUCACAUACUUUGAGAGAAGGCAUAUACCAUUACUGCCUUGGAAAGGAUCCAGAAAUACCACAAAAGAGAGAUUUGAGAGAAUCAUAUAAGGAAUCUCUGAGUUUUAUUUGAAAAUCUGCAAAAACCCUAGAGCUAUAGCUGAUCAAGAACACGAGACAUGGUGCUUAACUAGACUGUUCUAUCUUUUAACUGCUCAAGACACAAGUGACGGUUGCAAGCCCCAUGGUGAAAGGUAAAAUGAGUAAGUUUUAAGUCUUAACAGUUUACUCUAACUCAGAGAUGAGAUCUUGCUUGAACGCAUGCGUACUUUUAAGGCAUGAAACCACUACAGAAACUUUUGAGUCUAUCCUUGCUCAGGGACGAGCAAGAGGUAAGCUUGGGGGAGUUUGUUGACGGUCCUUAAGUACCAAAUAUAAUCAUCAAAUAAAUAAAGAAAAGGAUCCAAAUGCUACCAACACCCAGACUUAGGGUUUUAUCUGAAAGAAUUCCACGAGUUUUGAUGUUUGUCUAUUUCUGUAGGGGGUUAUCAGGAAAUGUGGAGGAAAGGCCCACACAUCGGGUUUACGUAGAGAUAUUAACGUGCCGCGCAAUUUUCUAUCAUCUAGAAGAGUCCAGAAGCCACGGGAACAAACGGGAGGCCGAACGGGCCCAGGUGCAGGGUGCCCGCCCUCCCCCCUUGGGCGCCCGCCCUGGUACAAGCACCAAUCACAGAAUGGAUUGCACCAUUACAAAGAUCUCGUUGAGCUGAUCGAAAUGCAUAUAUUAUUUGCUAUAUUUGGAGUUCGGAAUCAAUAGAUAUUAAUAAAAGAAGGACUCUACAUAAAAGAGUUGCGGGAUUAAUUGGGCUCAAAUCAGAUUUUGGUCCAUUAAGGCCUAUGUCAAUUUUAAUGAGAUAUGGUGGAAAGUUUAGUACCACAUCGCCCGCUGAACCAAAAAGGCACAAAAGGAGGAGGCUAUAUAAGCAAGGCCCCUGGCCCCUGGAGGAGAACACAUCAUUAUAGAGUUGAGAGGUGCCCUCGAAGGAUAACCUUUCCUCUAUAUAGAAUUAGGGCUUAGCAUCCAAUGUGAGAUUAGAAUUAGUUCUUCUAAGUUCUUCUAGAUUGAGAGAGAUAGAGUGGAGGUGUAGAUCGGAGGAAGCCCGGCCUGUCGGUGUCUACUCUGAGGUUGUACCUACGGGAUCAAGUCUCCUAACCCGAGGCUUGCUCCUAGGAUUCUUCAGUAUUUCGACUUCUAAAUUCUAGUAAGUUUUCUUUGUUUUAUUGUUCUUUGGUUUAUGAGUUUACUUUAAUCUCUUCCGGUUGAGUUUAGAGUAAUCAUUGCUAGUGCAAACGUGGUGUUUGGGCUAGGGUACUCAUAGAUAUCCCCUGUCUAGCCGGACCGUGGUAGUAUCGAGGAACGUGACAUUUCCGAGUUACCUUUGUAGCCCACAUCCCGUUAGAAGGAUCGAUAGGGUUUAUAGGUGCGGGUCGAACAUCCUUUGUGGUGUCUAGAUUCCGUGAGCCUCCCCAAUAGAAGAGUAGAUCAUCCUUACCAAGGUUAGAAUGAGAGUGCGGUUGUAGUCUUCUCUAUACAUCGCUCACAUCGAAUCACAUUGUUUGUAGCCUAAAGGGUAGUAGCAAGAGAUUUGGUUAGUCAGAUGCAUGCUUUCUCCCAGUGGUAUAUAUAAAUACGAUACUCUGGAUAAUCUCCCGGUGAAAUGUGUUGGGUAUUCUUAACAUCAUUACUAAAAGUAGACUAAGUUCUCUAAAUCUAGUAACGGUGCCAAAAAUGCCAAACCUAUCCCUCACACCACUUAAGCCAAGUUGUCAUCCCCAGCAUGACAUGAGAGACGCGUUAUUGAAAUAUGCAAUUGCUCUUCUAAAUAAAUAAUGAAUGGGAUCUGCAAGCGCAC
This 7228-nucleotide long non-coding RNA is filed under the name Sorghum bicolor (sorghum). RNAcentral's name for it is "long non-coding RNA (SBIC_LNC014018)". The record is from RNAcentral. Lineage: Eukaryota; Viridiplantae; Streptophyta; Magnoliopsida; Poales; Poaceae.